Molecule: ribosomal RNA, 484 nt
Filed under: uncultured bacterium
Lineage: Bacteria
Description: partial 16S ribosomal RNA
Rfam family: Bacterial small subunit ribosomal RNA
Source: RNAcentral
AUUGAACGCUGGCGGCAGGCCUAACACAUGCAAGUCGAGCGGAUGAAGGGAGCUUGCUCCUGGAUUCAGCGGCGGACGGGUGAGUAAUGCCUAGGAAUCUGCCUGGUAGGGGGGGAUAACGUCCGGAAACGGGCGCUAAUACCGCAUACGUCCUGAGGGAGAAAGGGGGGGAUCUUCGGACCUCACGCUAUCAGAUGAGCCUAGGUCGGAUUAGCUAGUUGGUGGGGUAAAGGCCUACCAAGGCGACGAUCCGUAACUGGUCUGAGAGGAUGAUCAGUCACACUGGAACUGAGACACGGUCCAGACUCCUACGGGAGGCAGCAGUGGGGAAUAUUGGACAAUGGGCGAAAGCCUGAUCCAGCCAUGCCGCGUGUGUGAAGAAGGUCUUCGGAUUGUAAAGCACUUUAAGUUGGGAGGAAGGGCAGUAAGUUAAUACCUUGCUGUUUUGACGUUACCAAAAGAAUAAGCACCGGCUAACUUCGUG